This is a long non-coding RNA of Triticum dicoccoides, 2404 nucleotides long. RefSeq lists it as uncharacterized. The record is from RefSeq and is a predicted model, not a curated record. The transcript has 6 exons. Lineage: Eukaryota; Viridiplantae; Streptophyta; Magnoliopsida; Poales; Poaceae.
AGCGAAAUACGUAUGCCACUGCGUUGGGUGGUCGGCCAUUGCGUGCUGGUACGGGGGGACGAUCUGCGAAAAGUUGGACGGCCGUCGACGGCGGACUGGGUGAGCCGUGGACCAGAAUCAGCGUUUCCGUCUGAUCCGUGGCUCAGGAAUUUUGCUUUUCGUGUAAUGGUUCCACACGCGAAUUGAUUGCAGGCUCGAGAGUGUUCUCGGCUAGGGCGUGCCGCGUGCGUGAUUUGGGGACUGUGGAGGCACGGAGCGCCGCCGGCGAAACACCAUGGAGUUUCGGAUGCAGCCGAUCGGCAGAUCUAGUGUUCUUGAGGAGAUAGGGGAAAGCUUGGUGCUGCCUCCUGUAGCUAUGAAUAUCCAUCUGAUAGGUGAUUUGGAGGUGGGCCGGCUGGCAGAGCGCGAGUCUUUGGAGGUGGCGAAGCAGGCGGAGCGACAGGCGGCACAAGAGGCGACGGUGGGCAGCGGCGACGGACAAAUCUUGUUGGCGAACGAAGAGGCAGCAAACAGAAGAGGCAGCUCGCCGCCAACAUCGGAGCUGUCAGCAGGGAAGCUCCAGGCACGGGGGUGGAACAAAAGGUUCGAUGGUGGGAGGUACAUCCUGCAUCUGUCUGCGUUUUGCAGGCCAUAUUAGCUGUCUGUCUAGACCAAGGAAUAUGAUGAAGGGGCCUAUGUUUGAUUGGGUAUCCUCUGAAUUUCUUAGAAUGAUGGUUGGAUCUCCACCAAUGACCAUACUAACUGACCAGAACCAUGUGAUGGAGCUGGCGAUGAAAAACAUUAUGCCUGACACGGUGCACCGGUGGUGCAAAUGGCAUGUGCUGAGGAAAGCGAAGGAGACGUUAGGUGCUCUGUACACCAAGAAGAGUGAGUUCACAACAGAUUUUCAUAAAGUAAAUCACAUGCUGACGGAGGAUGAAUUUGAGAAAGGUUGGGAGAUGUUGCUGGAUAAAUACAAGCAGAGAUCACACACUUACACGGCGCAACUGUACAAGAUUAGGCACAAGUGGACUAAACCUUAUUACAUGGCGCAACUAGCACACAGAGGAGUGAAAACGCAAACCACAUACUAAAGAAUUAUGUGCCCCCCAGGUGUCGAAUGCACAUGUUUGUGCAGAAGUACAUGAGGCUUCAGUUUGAUAGAGAAUCGGAGUAGAACUACGAGGAGAAGCAAACAAGAAUUGGUAGGCCACCGAUGAGGGAAAUCUUGCUGUCAGAAGGCAUGCGAGCAAGAUUUAUACAAGAGCUAUGUUUGAACAAUUUGGGCACAUACUGUACAAGUGCGGGGCUUAUCAAGUUGAAGAGGUUGAGAAGCAUAAAAACAUAUGUGGCAAUUCAUAGUGAAGCAUAGAAGAGGGAGAAGUGGUGCAGAGUUUCGUACAAGGUUACAAUGAUAGAUGGAGGCAAUGAAUUCGACUGCGAGUGUGGCCAGUGCAUACAUGGGCUUGCUGUGCAGCCAUGUGUUGAAGUUAAUUUUGUUUCGUGCAGGUCCUAGAUUACAUAAAAGAGCUAAAGUACCGGAGAAACACAUAGUGAAGAGGUGGACGAAGGAUGCGUGAGAUAUAUUGCCUCCACACCUUUCACAAUACCAGAAAGAACUUGUUAGGCUAGGCAACACAAGUGUGGAAGCAUACAAUCGAUUGACAGAGUUGUUCAAGUCAAAUUUGACUGUGAUGCUACCUUAUGCAGAAGUUAGGGAUGGUCUUGGCCUCGAGGAUCGACUCGCAGACAGGGGUGCAGUGUUGAAUCAAGUGCAGCCUGUGGUGGUGGGUGCAGAUCAAAACACUAGUGCCAGAGAAGCUGUUGCUGUUUUAGCUGAUGGUGAUUCAGUACCAAGGACAAGCAACAGAUUGGAGGGACUGCUGGGCGCUGGCUCCUGCGAAGAGGAAAGAAUUGGGGCAGCCAAUGACAAGUAGGGAGAAAGCUCUGUUUGAAGGUUUGAGCAAGAUGACCAGGUUUUGCACGAUUUGUCAUAGGCGAGGGCACAAGCGAACCACAUGUCCUGACUGUGAUCUUCCAAAGCAACCUCGGAAGCCUGCUAGAUGCAAGAACUAUGGUGUUGCGUGGCACCGCCGCAACAACCAUAAUAAGGCAAUGGAGCUUGGGCUAGCCAAUGGAAUGUAGUAGGCGUAGUAUUUUCGUAUAUUGUGGUCGGUUAUGGUCUGAUGGCUUAUCUAGAUUCUUUUUCUGCAUUACAGGUGUGUUAAGUAGGAGCUCAUGUCUUAAGUAGAAGCUUCUUCAGCUUUAGUGGCUGGGGAAUGUCGUCAAUACUUGUAGCUUGAGUUCGAUCAUAUCUUUGUUUAAGCAUGAACUGUUGCCUCCGCUUUUGGUUUAGUAUACAAUUCGCCAGACUCCUGAGUAAUGUAAGAUGUGAAAGAUGGUUAUUUUCUUAGUUGGAUUCAAA